This 702-nucleotide ribosomal RNA is filed under the name Triticum aestivum (bread wheat). RNAcentral describes it as "partial small subunit ribosomal RNA". The record is from RNAcentral. Lineage: Eukaryota; Viridiplantae; Streptophyta; Magnoliopsida; Poales; Poaceae.
AUGGAAUUGGUCGAGCUACGCACGACAUCUUUGGCUGAGGCAAUGUUUGACAAGCUUGAGCUCCCAAGACCAGUUUACCAUGUGCAUAUGCUUGAGCAAGGCGGAUAUAGGGCACAGAUUGAGUUUCACCAUACCAGAGAGCGUUAUAAUGCUUCCGCACGCCGGACUAAAUUGUUGAGCCAUACAUGUGUUAGCAGAGAGGCAGCAAUGGAUCAGGCAGCCGAUCAAGCAAUUACAUACAUGGAAAAUAAUGAAAACAAGGUUCUUGCUGAUUAUAACUACUAUCGGCUGCAACAAGAAAAACAAUCUUGUGCAAGGCUUUCAGAUACCUUGUCAGAGAGAACGAAAGAAGUCAACCAGCGCAACCAGACCAUCAUACAGAUGACUAAAGAGGCGUCCAAUUAUCUGGAAGAAGUGCAUGCUGCAUCAGACAAGAUCCAUGGUCUUGCUGCCACUGCCUUAGACCCUGCUGCCAGCCUGUCUCUUUCCACUCUAAAACAAACUAUUUUGGCGAUUCAAGAUUCACUUGUUGCUCUUCAAAGCACUACCGCCGCUGCACGUGCCUCCCUAGAGGAAAAGGGCAUGUACUCAGAGGAUGAUGUGGCUCAACCAACCUACGAUGGGCUUUCUGAUGAAGAGACCGAUGAAGAUUGCCAUCAAGACAUGGAUGAUGACUACGCUCACUAUGUGCGAUCCCCAUGA